GACGAACGCUGGCGGCGUGCUUAACACAUGCAAGUCGAACGGAAAGGCCCUGCUUUUGUGGGGUGCUCGAGUGGCGAACGGGUGAGUAACACGUGAGUAACCUGCCCUUGACUUUGGGAUAACUUCAGGAAACUGGGGCUAAUACCGGAUAGGAGCUCCUGCUGCAUGGUGGGGGUUGGAAAGUUUCGGCGGUUGGGGAUGGACUCGCGGCUUAUCAGCUUGUUGGUGGGGUAGUGGCUUACCAAGGCUUUGACGGGUAGCCGGCCUGAGAAGGUGACCGGCCACAUUGGGACUGAGAUACGGCCCAGACUCCUACGGGAGGCAGCAGUGGGGAAUAUUGCACAAUGGGCGGAAGCCUGAUGCAGCAACGCCGCGUGCGGGAUGACGGCCUUCGGGUUGUAAACCGCUUUCGCCUGUGACGAAGCGUGAGUGACGGUAAUGGGUAAAGAAGCACCGGCUAACUACGUGCCAGCAGCCGCGGUGAUACGUAGGGUGCGAGCGUUGUCCGGAUUUAUUGGGCGUAAAGGGCUCGUAGGUGGUUGAUCGCGUCGGAAGUGUAAUCUUGGGGCUUAACCCUGAGCGUGCUUUCGAUACGGGUUGACUUGAGGAAGGUAGGGGAGAAUGGAAUUCCUGGUGGAGCGGUGGAAUGCGCAGAUAUCAGGAGGAACACCAGUGGCGAAGGCGGUUCUCUGGGCCUUUCCUGACGCUGAGGAGCGAAAGCGUGGGGAGCGAACAGGCUUAGAUACCCUGGUAGUCCACGCUGUAAACGGUGGGUACUAGGUGUGGGGUCCAUUCCACGGGUUCCGUGCCGUAGCUAACGCUUUAAGUACCCCGCCUGGGGAGUACGGCCGCAAGGCUAAAACUCAAAGGAAUUGACGGGGCCCCGCACAAGCGGCGGAGCAUGCGGAUUAAUUCGAUGCAACGCGUAGAACCUUACCUGGGUUUGACAUGGAUCGGGAGUGCUCAGAGAUGGGUGUGCCUCUUUUGGGGUCGGUUCACAGGUGGUGCAUGGCUGUCGUCAGCUCGUGUCGUGAGAUGUUGGGUUAAGUCCCGCAACGAGCGCAACCCUUGUUCACUGUUGCCAGCACGUUAUGGUGGGGACUCAGUGGAGACCGCCGGGGUCAACUCGGAGGAAGGUGGGGAUGACGUCAAGUCAUCAUGCCCCUUAUGUCCAGGGCUUCACGCAUGCUACAAUGGCUGGUACAGAGAGUGGCGAGCCUGUGAGGGUGAGCGAAUCUCGGAAAGUCGGUCUCAGUUCGGAUUGGGGUCUGCAACUCGACCUCAUGAAGUCGGAGUCGCUAGUAAUCGCAGAUCAGCAACGCUGCGGUGAAUACGUUCCCGGGGCU
RNAcentral lists this ribosomal RNA (1346 nucleotides) under uncultured bacterium. Its description in RNAcentral is "partial 16S ribosomal RNA". It matches the Rfam family "Bacterial small subunit ribosomal RNA", at positions 28 to 1381 of the family's 1533-position model. The record is from RNAcentral.